RNAcentral lists this ribosomal RNA (479 nucleotides) under uncultured bacterium. RNAcentral describes it as "partial 16S ribosomal RNA". It matches the Rfam family "Bacterial small subunit ribosomal RNA", at positions 28 to 507 of the family's 1533-position model. The record is from RNAcentral.
GACGAACGCUGGCGGCGUGCUUAACACAUGCAAGUCGAACGAAGCUUGAUUACGGAUUCUUCGGAUGAAGUAUGAUAUGACUGAGUGGCGGACGGGUGAGUAACGCGUGAGUAACCUGCCCUUCAGAGGGGGAUAGCGUUUGGAGACGAACGGUAAUACCGCAUAAUGUAUUUUGACCGCAUGAUCGAAAUACCAAAGAUUUAUCGCUGAAGGAUGGACUCGCGUCUGAUUAGGUAGUUGGUGGGGUAACGGCCUACCAAGCCGACGAUCAGUAGCCGGACUGAGAGGUUGAUCGGCCACAUUGGGACUGAGACACGGCCCAGACUCCUACGGGAGGCAGCAGGGGGGAAUAUUGCACAAUGGGCGCAAGCCUGAUGCAGCAACGCCGCGUGAAGGAAGACGGUUUUCGGAUUGUAAACUUCUGUUCUUAGUGAAGAAUAAUGACGGUAGCUAAGGAGCAAGCCACGGCUAACUACGUG